This 403-nucleotide ribosomal RNA is filed under the name uncultured bacterium. RNAcentral describes it as "bacterial SSU rRNA". It matches the Rfam family "Bacterial small subunit ribosomal RNA", at positions 355 to 774 of the family's 1533-position model. The record is from RNAcentral.
UGGGGAAUCUUCCGCAAUGGACGAAAGUCUGACGGAGCAACGCCGCGUGGGUGACGAAGGUUUUCGGAUCGUAAAACCCUGUCAAGAAGGAAGAAAAAAGACGGUACUUCUGAAGGAAGCCCCGGCUAACUACGUGCCAGCAGCCGCGGUAAUACGGGGGGUGCAAGCGUUGUCCGGAAUCAUUGGGCGUAAAGCGUUCGUAGGCGGUAUAUCAAGUCUGGUGUUAAAGCCCGGGGCUCAACUCCGGUUCGGCACUGGAUACUGGUAAACUAGAAUGCGGUAGAGGUAAGGGGAAUUCCUGGUGUAGCGGUGAAAUGCGUAGAUAUCAGGAGGAACAUCGGUGGCGAAAGCGCCUUACUGGGCCGUAAUUGACGCUGAGGAACGAAAGCCGGGGGAGCAAAUG